RNAcentral lists this ribosomal RNA (253 nucleotides) under uncultured bacterium. RNAcentral's name for it is "partial 16S ribosomal RNA". It matches the Rfam family "Bacterial small subunit ribosomal RNA", at positions 524 to 776 of the family's 1533-position model. The record is from RNAcentral.
UACGUAGGGUGCGAGCGUUGUCCGGAAUUAUUGGGCGUAAAGAGCUCGUAGGCGGUUUGUCGCGUCUAUCGUGAAAACUGGAGGCUUAACUUUCAGCGUGCGGUGGAUACGGGCAGACUUGAGUUCGGUAGGGGAGACUGGAAUUCCUGGUGUAGCGGUGAAAUGCGCAGAUAUCAGGAGGAACACCGGUGGCGAAGGCGGGCCUCUGGGCCGAUACUGACGCUGAGGAGCGAAAGCGUGGGGAGCGAACAGG